This 515-nucleotide ribosomal RNA is filed under the name uncultured bacterium. RNAcentral's name for it is "partial 16S ribosomal RNA". It matches the Rfam family "Bacterial small subunit ribosomal RNA", at positions 30 to 523 of the family's 1533-position model. The record is from RNAcentral.
AUUGAACGCUGGAGGCGUGCUUAACACAUGCAAGUCGUGCGAGAAAGGGACUUCGGUCCUGAGUAGAGCGGCGCACGGGUGAGUAACGCGUGGGUAAUCUCCCUUGGUGAUCGGGAUAACAGCGGGAAACUGCUGCUAAUACCGGAUAAUCUUCAUGUUUAACUUCAUGGGGUAAAGGUGGCCUCUGCUUGCAAGCUACCACACCGAGCUGAGCCCGCGUCUCAUUAGCUAGUUGGUAGGGUAAUGGCCUACCAAGGCUACGAUGAGUAGCUGGUAUGAGAGGAUGACCAGCCACACUGGGACUGGAACACGGCCCAGACUCCUACGGGAGGCAGCAGUGGGGAAUAUUGCGCAAUGGGCGAAAGCCUGACGCAGCGACGCCUCGUGAGGGAUGAAGGUCUUCGGAUCGUAAACCUCUGUCAAGAGGGAAGAAACCCUUGGAUUCGAAUAGGGUCCUUGGCUGACGGUACCUCAAAAGGAAGCACCGGCUAACUCCGUGCCAGCAGCCGCCGUAA